UGUUUUAGUUCUUCGUAUUUUCUUUAGUCCACGAUUAUAUUUCAGGCGUCUAAGUUGUGCAACCUUCUUCUAAAAGCUGUAUGGAAUGCUCCUGCAUUAGGUGGCUCAUCAUGCAUUAUAUGUAAGAGUAUCUUUAGGCUUUGAACUUAAUUAGUUUUUUUUUUGUAAUGCAGCUUUGUGUUUUACAAUUUUGUAGAUCCAUAUUGUUUACAAUAAAAUCGUGGGAUGCUUACGAGAAGAGGAUUAGAUUAGUGACCUAUAAGUAUCCAUCAUGGGUACCAUUAAGUUUUUAUGUUUAAAGUUUUAUUCAUGAUAGACAUAGCCUAUUUUGUUUUAUUUACGGCGAGAGAGAUGCACUUAUUAUGCCUAAGAAUUCUGGAAUUCUUCCAAUGGUCCUAGUAGCCAUUAUUCUUGUUGGCCAGCAAGGUAUUUAAUUUUUGCUCCCCCACAUAUUUGGUAUUUUCUUGUGCUUUAUAAGGUAAUUUCUAGUCUUGACUAUAGAUAUUUGUUGCCAGAGAUACAACAACAAAUUCCAAGGAUUCACAAGAUGGCCUCAUCUGGUCCAAGAUAUCAAGAGAUGAAUACAUGAGAUAUGCAUUCGAGGAGUGUUAUAUCAUAGUAUUAAAGUUAUUUUGAUGUUGGUACUUGGACAUCUGUUAACUUUUUUUUAGGUGGAGAGAAUCUACAAGGGUACAUAUUAGUAAAAAGAAACAUACAAGCUUCAGGUUAACCAAGUUACAGUUCGUGACGCCCAGAAUUUUUUGCUUUAACUGGUAUUCUCAUAUUCUCUCUCCAUGCAAUUUGCACUUUACUUAUCCAAUAUUAUUUUAUUUACCUUUUUUUUCUUCUAUCAAAUGUUCAUCUACAAAAAAAGUUGUGUUGGGUUCCAUCAAAUUUUGGACGUUCUACUUUCUUGCCAUCUUAAUGUUAGCUAACCACUACUUAUUACAAAGCUUGAGCUGUGUAAAAAGAGACAAAUUUCUAGUGGUGACAACAUCCAAAAUGGAGACAACAUCCAAAAUGGAGAAGUAGUGACAAAGUACAAAUGGUAGCAACAUUCCAAGAUAGUUGUACAAGCAUCAAAUCUAGAGGAGGGCACUUUGAUAGCUCAUUCAUAAGGUUGUUUACUGCUAGCAUGCUUAGUGGGGAGAAACCUACCCAAACAUUGCCCCCUACUACGAAAAGUGCUACUGCAAAGCCAUGUAUGAAAACAACAGAUGGGGUGGGACAAUUCAAGGAUUUUGUUGAGAUUGGAAGAUAUUGAGAGAAAAUUGAAGGAAGAUUGGGAUCAUGUGUAAAGGUGGAACUGUCUCUCAAAUAAAGAGCAGUGUUUCGAAGGAACUGCUAGCAGCUGUUACAAGAUGCUUUGUUGAUGUUCAAGCUCUACAAAAUCAUGACAUCCCAAGGUUUCCGGUGAAGGCAUUUCAUGGAUGGUAUCUGUAGUUGAAGACUUUCGAAUUGCACAUAUAAAGCUAAAGGUGCUAUUGGAAUCUUUUUACCGCUUGUAAUUCUCACAAAAUCCUCUCUUCAAAGUAAGUGUUGGUUAUAGAAUUUAAUUAAUUUUUGCAAAGAGUUUGGGCUGUAAUCUACAAUCAGGAAAGCGUACUGUUAGACUUAUUGGAGUCUUACAUAAAUUUGUAGG
Long non-coding RNA from Zingiber officinale, 1642 nucleotides. RefSeq lists it as uncharacterized. The transcript is spliced from 5 exons. NCBI's taxonomy places the organism in Eukaryota, Viridiplantae, Streptophyta, Magnoliopsida, Zingiberales, Zingiberaceae. The record is from RefSeq and is a predicted model, not a curated record.